Molecule: transfer RNA, 60 nt
Filed under: Pallisentis celatus
Lineage: Eukaryota; Metazoa; Acanthocephala; Eoacanthocephala; Gyracanthocephala; Quadrigyridae
Description: tRNA-Trp
Source: RNAcentral
GGGGGUCUAGGUUAUAAAGACUGUAAGUUUUCAAGACUUAAGGCGCUUUGGCGGCCUUCG